UUGUAGGAAGAAUCGGUGGUCUUUGACCAUCUGAAAAGGAGGCAACUCGUGGAAAUAUGCCACCAAUGGUGAGUUCUUUAAGAGAGGUAAGUGUGGCAAGGCCCCAUCGGGAUAGGGGCAUCUUGAUAUUCUCACAACGGUAGAUACCAAGUGAUGUAAGAGCAGUGAGGUUUUGCAGUUGAUGAGGUAGCAGCUCCACAUUCUCACAAUUAUUAAUCUCCAGUUCUCUGAGUUUGUAGAGGCAAUCUGGUACAAUUUUGAGACAGGGAUACGACCGGAUACUCAAAUAUUCAAGUGAACUAUUAUUGGAGUGAAACGUCUCCUUUGAAAUCGACUCCAGUUGUGCACAAUCCCAAAUCUCAAGUUUCUUAAGGGUGGAGGGAAACUUGCCUGUGGGGAAGAAUGUGAGAGAUGGACAUUUCCAAAUGUCCAAGACAUGAAGACCACCACUGGUGGCGGUGGUGGUGUUGGAAUCAUGGUGCAUCAUUCCCCCCGGUAGAGACUCUAGCUUUUCACACCUCCAUAUCUUGAGUUCCUUGAGCGUGGUGGGUAACUCACCUUCUGGAAAACCAAUGAGAGAUGGACACGUAUGUAUGUGCAAGUAUUCAAGGAGACACACGUCGCUACCGUUAUUACUACCGUCUUUCAUCACCAUCAUCCAAUCAGGUAGACAUCGUAGACCUUCACAACUAUGAAUAACAAGACGUCUAAGCAUGGGCGGGAACCCCAACUCUGGAAAUGACACCAGCUUUGGACAAUCAUAGAUUUCCAACUCUCCAAGACAUGUUAGCCUGUACAGUCCAUUGGGAAGCUUCUCUAGGUUAUUACACCACCUAAUUUUCAAAGAUUGAAGCUUGCUAGGCAGCUCGUGCUUUUCCUUUUCUCCCAAGGAUACAAGCUCGGGACAACUGCUAGUUUGCAACUGCUGAAUACCAUCAAAUCCAUUUUCCCACAAACACGUCAAUUUAUCACAUCUAUCAAUGUCUAAAACUUGAAGCCCCGACAACAAUUGCAUACAACCUUCAUGUAAUCUGGUGAGCCCUACCAUUCUAUCAAUUCCUAACUCGGUGAGUGAAGGCAAUUCCAAUCCACUCCUUAGUACCGCCUCAUUGCAAUCUUGUACUCUUAAUUUAGAAAGAGAUGGAAGCCUUUCAAGUGGAGACACCAACUGUGGGCAUGUCCCAAUGGAGAAAUGUACAAGGGACGGUAGGUUAGUGGGUAGUUUCUUGAUUAAUUUGGGGCAAUUUAUGAUUUCAAGGUGAAGGAGACAAGGAUAUGGCUCUGAUAAAGAUGGACUCUCCCAAUCUUCCCAUUGUGACAUAGCCGAAAAAGAUAGAGACUCUAAGGACGGGAAAGGCUUAUUGGGAAGACAAGUCUCUCCAUAAAACUCUCUACCCACAAUUUUUACUUCUUUUAACCCUUCAAUCCUUACGUGUUUGAGCAUGGGUAACCACCCCAAACACGGUAAAGAUGUGCAAUUUCUGCAAUUCACCAGAUUUACAUCCACCAUCUUCGAGAAUGAAACAUCUCCUAUCCAAGGGGGAAAUUCUGGACCACCAUAAUACUCAAUUUUUAGUUUGUUCAAAUUGAAGUGUGGCUGUAAAGAGUCAAGUACAUCUUUUUGAUUCCUUGCAUUGUGUGAAUCAUUCAACCCAGCACUCCACUCUAUCGUCAAUUCUUCAAGCUUCUGCUUCUUGUUUAGACUAGCAUCCCUUGCAUCUUGAACAUUUGCUACAUUUUCCAACUUUGAAAUGCAAAGUCCCCCUUGAAGUUGGGGCAUAUUCCUUAACUCCUUUACAUUCAAACCAUUGUCUUUACCCACAAUAAAAUUAGACAAUACUUGUAAGCCUUUUAAUUUGCAAAUUCGUGGAGGCAUUUCUUCUAGAUUUGUAUUGGUCACAUCAAGGUGUCGAAGAUUAUUUAGGUUUCCAAUGCUCAAAGGCAACCUAAUAAGCUUCCGACAAUUUGAUAAUAUUAAUGUCUCUAAGUUAUGGAGGUUACCCAGUGAAUCAGGUAAUCGUUUGACUUUUGUUCUGGAUAAAUUAAGAUACCUAAGGUGUUUCAAAUCACCAACUGAACUUGGUAUCUCACUUAUCCGAUAACCACUCAAUAAAAGCACCCUUAGGCGUCGUAGCUUGGGCAUCAAUCCCUCAAGUACCUUGUUGCUUAACCAAUUAUAAUCCCAUAAUGGAUCAAUUGGUAAUGCAAUAAACGUACGCAAAUUCUCCAUCCCAUAAAAGGCUUCAAACUUUUUGAAGAUAUCGUAUCGGUCACGAAUGAAUGAUGAAUGACGAGCCUUUUUAGAAAUAGUCUGCUGCUGAUUACCUUCCAAAUUCUUUUCCAGAGAAAAACAUAUUUCUCCACCAACAAAUUUUGCUAAAUCGUUAACGAGAUCAUGCAUUACGAAUUGGGAUUUAUUGCUACUUGAUGGUUGAAAAAAUGAUCGAGACAACAAUUCCUGGAAGUAGUUAGCGCCUAAAUCUUCAAUUUCGAUUUGUUGCCUAUGACAUUCUAAGUGUUGAAUUAGACUCUCUGCCAUCCAUAAGCGAAUCAGUUCUCUCUUAUCAAAUUCAUAGUCUUUCGGAAAUAUUGCACAAUAACUGAAACAUCUCUUCAGUGGAGAGGGGAGGUGAUUAUAACUUAAUCUUAAUGCAGGAAGAAUACCGCAUUUAUCACUCGGUAAAUCCCAUAUUUUGCUAGUCAAAAUAACAUUCCACUCAUGUUCUCUCUGUUCAUGGCGUAGAAGACUACCGAGUGCUGUUGCUGCCAAAGGCAAGCCUCCACACUUUUUUACAAUUUCCUUGCCGAUCAAUGCCAAAUUGGAAUGCUCAUCAAUGUUGCUAUUUCCAAAUGCAUGUUUCUUGAACACCGACCAACACUCAUUAUCUGAUAAAUUUUGUAGCUCGUGCAAGUUCUUAUCUCCUUCCAUUAUAUUUGCGACCUUCUUACUCCGUGUCGUGACUAUGAUUUUGCUGCCUCGUGAACCCGACAAAAAGGGAGACUGUAAGCAACGCCAAUCAUUAUAGUUGUCAUUCCACAUAUCAUCGAGAACCAGAAGAAAUUUUUUUCCCUUCAAUUCCUCCCCCAAUUUAUCUUGAAUUUGAUGGAAGUCUAGUGAAUCAGUAUUGCUCUGAGAAGUACUGACCGAGUUGAGGAUUGUCUUGGUUAUUCUCACUGCAUCGAACUGAUCUGAUACACAAACCCAGGCCUUUAGAUCAAAAUGCUUGGCUGUCUCAGGAUGAUCGUACACCAACCUUGCUAGUGUGGUCUUGCCCAUACCACCCAUGGCCACGAUGGAAACUACAGAAACAUUGGUUUCAAUGGGCUCAUCCCUAAGCAGCAUAUCCAUUAUAAUCUGUUUAUCAGCAUCCCUGCCAUAAACCCAAGGUUCGUAUACCAGAGAUGUAGUGAGUGGCCUUUCCCAAGUAGACUGGGUUAUAGCAGCCACCUUGUCCAAACCAAGCCCAGCCUUUUGGGCAUAUAUAGCUUCUAAUCGGGUGGUAAUGUCCUUUAUCUCGCACCCCAUCUUAACAUUACGCAUACAACCAAUAGGAGUGAAAGUAGUACAACAAGUAGGGAUAAACUUGCGUACCUUGCUUGUGCUGCCUUCACCAUCAGCUUCCGCCAUCACCUUUCUUCUUAAAGCUUCGUAGGCAAACUCGUCCAAGAUGUCCUCCAUGUCAUAAACCAAAUCCCUCAGAUCGCCCAGCCACGUUUUCACCGACUGCUUCGUGAUCUGCUUCUCCUCCGCGUCAUUCAGCACUUCAUCAAUCUCCAAUAAUUUUUUCUCCCAUAUUUCGAGCUCGGCGCGGAUUUUCUCUUGGCGUGCAAACUUGAGAUCAGGGGAGCGCAGUUGGUUAAACAAAGCUUGAAGGGAGUAAGAAAGAACAACCUCUGCAACAACUUCCAUGGUUCGUUGGUAGGGAAAGAGAGAGGUAGGAUACCAAGUGGAAACAAGAGAAUAAAAAACAAUUGGUUUGCUCUAUCAAGGCUUCCCCAAUUAUCAAAGACAGUGGACUCUGCUCCUUCAGAGUGGUGGGGCUCACACGUAAAGAAGAAGAAACUAAGGGAAAAGAAGGAAUCCAAGGCAACUGGUGCUAAGUGGAGCCAUUGGAGAGAUAAUUAUUCAAGUCUUGGACCACUCUCCAAUUUCCCACUACACUGGUUUUAGGGGUGGGUGACAUACUCACAUGAAGUGACAGAAAGCAGGGCCCUCUAAUUCAAAGUUUAUUUUACUAUUAAAUAAAUAAAUAAAAAAGUCAUUUUCUUAAAACCCUUCUACAAUUUUCUGACAAAGCAAAUGACUUCUGUAAGCAGGAUACCAUUCUUGUGAAUGGGAAAAGGAAGAAGGUUGAAGGAAGAAGAGUAAACAAGUUUUCCCUUUAUUUUAUAUAGAUUGGUGAUUAGGCUGAAGUAGAGAUACCUUGCUACCUCGCUGCAUCUUCAAACGAUAAUGUUGAUUAAAGAUGAAUUGAAAGCCAUGCUUUGCCUGCGAAGUUUGAUUAGAGAGGAAUCUCUAAAUCAAAUUUUGUGAAACAAUUGGUUUGCUUGCUGUAUCAAGGCUUAGCCAAUUAUCAAAGACUGAAGGUAAGAGAUAAGGAGUUGAAGGCAACAGCUGGCAAGCUGGCAAGUGGAUCCAUUGGACAUGAUUUGAUUAUUCAAGUCUUGGACCACCCUGCAAUUUUCCACACCGCACUGGGUGGUGGGUCAGAGAGUUAAGGAUAACGUCAGAAAACCAAACAUGAAGCGACGGAAAGCAGGGCCCCUGUACGAAAAUAUUACUCUGCAACAAUCAAAAUAAUCAAAGAAUCAUGCAUUGAAAAAUUGCAAGCUAAUGUUGUUAAAUUUUAAAAAAUAUGAAUUCAGAAAUUAUUUGUAAAUAUUUAGAAAUUGCUAAUGUUGGCUUUAGUUCAAUUUCACAAAAAUAGAAUCAUGCAUUGAAAAAUUGAUUUGAAGUUGAAGUUUUACAAUUUCCUUAUUUAUUUUCUAGGAGUUCAUAUAGGAAUAAGUUACAAAUACAUGGGAGGAACUUACAAAGAUGUAAACAAGUAAUUAGGUUAAGGACUCCACUUCCAAGCAGGCCAUGUGCUUUUAAGGAUAGAAAAAAAAUUGUUUAACACAUUAAUAAGAACAAAUAAUUUAAUGUUUAAGAAUAUUAAAAUAUGAAUAAAAAUAAACAAUUUAAUCUUAGCCAGAUUGUGUUCUAUUUAAAAUUCAAUAAAAAUCUAUUUAAAUUUAAGAUAGAGAAACAAACUAGAUAUAAUUUUUUCACUUCUUAUAUUUUAAAAUAUUUUUUAAUUAAGCAUUCUUAAUAAUAUUUUUAUUUCUUAUAAAAAAAGUUAUAAUUAUUUCAUGGAUGAUUAUUAACUUUUUUUUUUAAGAGAAAGAUAUAUCGUUGAAAUAGUUUUUAAGAAAAGACAAUGAAAUAGAAUCUGAAAGUUGAAUUAUUGAAAAUAUUGUAACCUCUAAAGAUAAAAUGAAAAUACUAAAACAUUGAGUGAUGAAAUUUAGGUUAUUGAAUAAAAAUAUAAAUAAAUUAGAUCAAAAUAUAAAAAUACAAAUAAUCGAGACAUAUGUGAUGCGUGAGACAUGCUAAAUAAAAAAUUUUGCUCCCACAAUUUCUAUAAUAUUAAAAGAAAGUCAAUUUUUUAAUAAUCUCUUUCCAUCUUUUGGUACACGCAAUAGAAUAAAAUAUAACCAUAAUUCUAUACAUUUCUUUCACGGGAAAAAAAGAAGGAAAAAACUUGGGGUGCUGGCACAUUGGGUGUCCACAAGUGGACCUUGUAUUCAAUUAUUGGUAAGAGAUGGCCCGGAUAGGUGGCAAUUAUUGGGGCUCUUUUACUUAAUAGAAUAGAUUUAUAAAAUAAUUUUAAAAAUGACUUCAAAAAGUAUAUUGAAGUCUAUGAUAAUUGUUAAAUGUUGUCGAUUUGAUUUUACUUCUAAUAAGAAAUCUUUUUUAUUUUAGUAUGGAAACUUUUUAAAACAGUGAUUUACUUCCAUUGAUUUAAUGAUAUUAUUAAAUUAAAUUUAAAAAGAUUUGUUAAAAGUAAGUUUUUUUAUUAAGGUAGAGUUGGAUUCGAAGUUUUAAAAUUAAGUUAAAAUAUCUUAAUUAAUUUUUGACAAUUUUGAGGUUUUAUUUUAAAAAAAUUUCUUAAUUAAUUUAUAGAAAAUUAAUAUUUUACUUUUUAAACAAAAAUUAUUUUGUUAAUUAAUUUUUGAAAAUUUGAUUUUUUUUUUUUAAGAAAUUCAAUUUCAAACCAUCUAGGCUCUUAGGCCUAUAUAUAUUAUCUAAAUGUGUUUUUGGGUUGGAUGCUUUAAUAAAAUUAACCUCAACUUGCUCUAUCAUUCAUAAACUCUCAACAAAGAAUUCACUAAUCAAAUCCCAUAGUUUUUUAUUUCCAUAAUUAAUAUGAUGAUUUUCCACAUAAAAUUGAUUGUCUUGUAUGUAAUUGUGAUUUUAUUAUUUAUAUGGAUAUGUGAAAUUGACAAUAUUGCCCCUAGCCUCAAGCAUAGGGUGUUACAAACAUCCUUAUUUAUCGACUCUCAACAUGAUUAUACUUUUCAUAGUAACUUAGCAUGAAAAUCUUUCAAUUGUCAUAUUCUAACAUUAUCUAUAAGUUUCUUGAGUAUUGAAAUUGACAAUGCUUUUGUGAAUAAGUUUGUUAAAUUAUCAUUUGAUACUUUCUGAAUACUAAUUUUAUUACUCUUGUGGAGUUUAUGAAUAUAAAAGAACUUGAAUGAUAUAUGGUUACUUUAGUUUGAGUUUUCCUCUUUUUAUCAUUAUGGCCUAUAUGAUUCUUAUUGAUCUAAAAAUUAAAUUUAAAAAAUUAGGCAAGAGAUUAACCUACUUACAAUUUAUUAAGCCUGAGUCACUAAAAUUAGUCAAUUAAAUUAGUUUGUUAUCUUUUUCUUUUUAUAAUAAUAGUUGGCAAGGUUCUUAUCUAUAUCAAGAUUAACUUAACUAUUAGGUAAGGCUUAAGAGAACUUACUUGCAAUUAUUAAAUUUGAGUUAAUAAAAUUAAUCAAUAGAAUUAACUCGUCGUCUUUUUGUUUUUAUAAUUGUGGCCGACUUAGUUCUUAUCAAUAUGAAGAUUAAAUUAAAAGAUUAGGUAACGGCACCCACUUGCAAUUUAUUAAACUCGAUUAAGCAAAAGUAGCUUCACUUAUUUCUCUUUUUAUGAUUAUGGUCAGCAAGGUUCUCAUCAACAUCAAGAUUAAUUUAAAAGAUUAUGUAAGGGAACCUAUUUGCAACUUGUUAAAUUUGACUCAUUCAAAAGGUUAGUCAAGCAAAUACACUUGCAAUAAUUUACAAUCAAAAUCCACUUUAAAAUAAUAAAUAUAAGCUAUCUUUUUUUGGUUGCAUUGAACUUAUUGAUAAUUAGAUUUAAACAUAAUUAAUAUAAUUAUUUAAGUAUUAAUUAAGUUUUCAAAACUAAUUAAAAUUUAAACAUCACUAAUUAAAUGAAAUAGUAUAAAAUUUAAUUAAUUAUUAUAUAUAUAAAAUAAACUUUAAUUAUCUAAUUAAAAUUAUUAAAUACUUAAGUAUUACCAUGCCUAAGAAUUAAAAGAACUUUUCAUUUUUUCAAGGCAUAAAAAAAUAACAAAGGAAAAAUCUUGAUUCAAAUAAAUAAAUAAUUCCAUGGAAAAUAUAGAAAUGAAAAUAAUAUUUAUAUUGUGUAAUACUAUAUUGCAGUAGUCUACAAUUUAUCAGUCUUAUUUGGAUUGAUUUUUAAGAAGUCAAAAGUUCUUUUAUAAGCUCAAGAAGGACUUCUAUGUCUCUUUAAUUAAUUUUAUUUGAAUGGCUAAUGGUUUAAAAAGAAGAUAUGAAAACUACAUAUAUUUUUUUUUAUACUUUUUAUAAAGGUGCAUAGCACCUCAUGCUAAUAAUUUUGUAUAACAAAAUAAAUAUUUCAAAGGCACCUCCAAUUACCUAGAAAAUGAAUUUUCAAUUUAUCAAAUACUUAAUUUUUGUAACAAAGAUGUUUUUGAGCAUUAUCGAACAUUUCUAACUUUUCUAAAAUCAUGACCAAAUGACUCAUAAUCUUUUCGAAUACUAAAACAUUCAUCAAAUUAUUUUGUUAUGAGCUUUUUAUUUUAAUUAAAAGGUUAAAAUAAACACUAACUUUAUUAAUUUUAUGUUCCAAAAUAAGUUUCUUUGAAAGCUUGUAAUGUAAAUUGAUUAAUGAAUUUCAGUUAUGAAUGAUCUCGGGGAGUUUGAAUUAGAAAUUUUGAGAUAACACUUUUUUUUAAUUGUUUAUGAUUAAAUAUGUAUCAAAUAAACGUACAAAACUGAAAAGACUUUAGAGGGUGAUGAUAAAUCAAUUUAAUGACUUAAUUUAAGUUAUUAAAUAUAUUAAGCAUGUUUGAUAAAAUAAUAAAGUUAAAAAUGAUUAUGAGAAAUCAUCUUAACAAUUAAGACUCCAUGACUUAAAUACAAUUAAUUUAACUUAAAGUCAUCUUACCCCGAUAAAUAUCAAGUUUUACCAAAAUUGUUGUUAAUGAUCUCAAUAAUUUUUUAUUUUCUUUCUAAAUAAAAUUAUUUUCAUUUAUUUAUUAAUGGAUUAUGGAGAAUAACCAUCCUCUCCCCAUCCUCUUUUUAAAUUGCAUACCAAAAGUUAGAUAGAGAUUCAAAAAGGAUCCAUAAAUGCAAGUGAUGGAAGGAGCAAUUAAUUUGUUUUAUUAUUCACCAUUUUUCAAAUUCCAUUUUCUGUGAAUACCCCUCCUACCUAAAUGACUUUUAAACAAAAACUUUGAUCAUGUUUUCUAUGCUUGUUUUUAAAAAUUAUUUUUAGUGUUUUAUAGAAAUAAAGGUGUUUGACAAAUUAUUUUUUAAACCAGUUUUUAAAAAUAAAAAAUAAAAAUUUUGUUUGAAUAAAUUAUUUAAUUUUUUUUUUAUUUUGUAAAAAUAUUAUAAAUUCAAUUUAUAUAACGUGAAUUAAACAAAAAUCUUUUUAUUACGUUUCCUUCCUUAGGUUAUAUUUGGUUUUCAAAAUUUUGAAGGAAAGAACAUAAAUAAAAAAUAAACUUUGCUGUAGUAAAUUUUCUCUUCCUUUUAAUUAAAAAAAAUAUUAAGAAAUCAAAAUCUUAGCUGGAUCAUUGGAGUCAGCGUGGGACUUCCAGGCUGGCCCGUGUGCAUGCCAUUAUUUAUUUAUUUUUGUAAUUUCAAAGCAUAUUAUUUUUAUUUUCAAUAUUUUAAGACUGGCGCAUUUUUCAAGCUUAAGAUUCUCUUUAUAAUUAUGGACCUAUGGUUGUUGGUUGUAUCAAGAUUAAUUUAAAUGUUAGAUAAGACUUAACACAAUUUACUAGCAAUUUAUUAAAUUUGAUUUGAUAAAAUUAGACAAUAGAAUUAGCCUGUCAUCUUUUUCAUUUUAUAAUUAUGGCCGGCUUGGUUCUUAUAAAUAUGAAGAUUAAAUUAAAAGAUUAGGUAAUGACACCCACUUACAAUUCAUUAAACUCGAUUUAGUAAAACUAGCUUAUAAAAUUAGCUUGACUUUUUUGUUUUUUAUAAUUAUGGUCGACAAGCUUUUUCUCAAUUUGGGAUGACAAUAAGACGAUUUUUUUUUUACCUAUCUCUAAUAAGACAAAUUUGAAAUUUAAAUAAAUCAAUUAGGAGUGGAUUUGAGAAUUUUUUUUAAAAAAACCUAAGGCAAGUUUGGGAUGAGUUUGAGUAUUACCUAGUCCUGCCAACCCUACCUUGAUUAUACAUAAAAUUAAUUUAAUUUAACUUUUAUUUUCCUAUUUUUAAUAAAAUAAGUUAUAAAAAAUUAUAAUAUUUUAAUCAUUUAUAAAAUAUGUUUAUUUUGAUAUAAUUUAAUUUUUUUAAAAAAAUUAUUAUUAUCAUUUUUUUUUAAGUUAAAGCCAAGGUAUAGAAAAUUUGUAUACCCAUCCUGCCCUACCUCAUCCCAUUUAAUUUUUUUAAUAGGACGACUGACGAGUAUGAAAAUUAUUUUGAAUAAAUGAAAUAGGAGUGGAAUGAGUGCAACCCAUCCCCAACUUGCACUGUUGUCUUCUCCAACGUCAAGAUUAAUUUAAUAAAAGAUUAGGUAAGGGAAUCUAGUUUCAACUUAUUAAAUUCAAUUAAUUUAAAAGGUUAGUCAAGCAAAUCCACUUGCAAAAAUUUAAAAUCGAAAUCCACUUCAAAAUAAUAAUGAUGAGCCAUUUUUUUUCUUCUUGCAUUGAAUUUAUUGCUAAUUGGACUUAAAUAUAAAUAAAACUAAUUAAAAUUUAAAUACCACUCAAUAAAUAAUAUAAUAAAAUAUAAUUAUCUAAUUAAAAUUAAUAAAUACUUAAAUUAGGUUGGAGUUAUUUGGCCUCACCCAAAGUUCAAUUCGAGGUGGAUUUUUUAAUCUACGCAUAAUUUAAAUUGUAAAAGAGGCCAUCCAAGUCUUUUCAAAUUCAUUUAAAUUGUAAAAGAGGUCAUCCAAGUCUUUUCAAAUUCUUAUUGAGUUUGAAUUUCGUUAUGUUGAAACUUCCCAAAUUUGAUUACUAAUUUAAUCCAUGAUAAAUUAAAGUGAUGGUUUAAAAGAAUGAAAUAAAAUUUGAACAUUUGUCGAGAGAUGGACCGUCUUUAGUAUUAGUAAUUGGCUUCUGAUAGAUUUGCAAGGAUGUAGCACAACUACAAGGCUUGGUGCGAUGGGGAGUGUCUGGUGGUCAAGAGUGCAUACAUGAUCCCAACUUACUGUUUAAACUAGGCAAAAAAGUUGUCAUAGGAUGAUAUCUAACUGUAAAUUUACCAACAACAAAUAAUUGAUUUCGAAAUUAGGACUCCCAAGGGUGUUCUCGUUGAGUGGUUAUGCAAUAAAUGAGACACCAAAUUCAUUCUAUGGUUUAAAACAUUUGAUUCAAGAGAUGAUCAUUUAUUAUAAUCUUCAAAUGUUGAUACAAUCAAGUUAUAAACAUUUUACCAAGAUACCUAUUAACUUCGGGAAUCUAAUUAACCUUUGAUAUCUUGAUAUUAUUGUUACAAGUCUAUUAGAAGAAAUGUCUUUAGAAAUUGACAAACUAAAAGAUUUGUAAAUACCGUCUAAUAUCAAUCCCGGAUUGGAUGGGGAGAAAGGUUCAUGAUAUAUGUAGUGAGAUUCUCUUAAUUAUUAUGUUGAUGAAUUUUGAGCCGAGUGUUUUGCCCUAGAGACACCAUCUGAAUGGGCCCUUUUGUCCCAAAGACAACAUCUACAUGGAAAGGAGCAGUCGUUAAUUCAAGGAAAAAUCUUUCCACCUGAAUCUAAACUUUUCCAGAUGCUCGCUCUACAGCAGGUUUGGAUAGCCCAACUGAUUGAGUAGCCUAUCCCAAGAAGUCAAAAUAUGAAGUUUUGUUGAUUUGAAUCCAUUAUUUGGUCCUAAGUCGCUGAAUCUUUCUGAAUUUUCCACAGUAAUCAUUCCAAAUAUCCCAAAAUUUUAGUUCAUUUGGCUGAACUGCUAGGGAGUGAUAAUGACAAAAAACUUUAAUUUGAUUUAGGAGGGUCACCUGUAUCUCAAUUCAUAGAUUCUAAAGAAUGGAUUACUUAACAAGAAGCAAACCCAUCAGAAAUGCUUAACCCUCGAAUCUUACUACGAGAAAAUGGAACAUAAACAGCAAUGACCAAACGCUCAUUUUCAGAUAAUCAACGAAGCUAAAACCGAAGAAAAAUCAAACCAAUUCUUGAAAAAACAAAGCAAUAAGAGCUCUUCAAACUAUCAAAUUUCUAUAAACGCAGUAAAAAUAAAUAAAAAAAAUCCACAACUGCAACUAACUAGCUGAAAAGAAUAGUCCUUGAAAUUACCCUUUCAAUGGAUGACUCAGAGGAACGAACAAACCGGACAACUGGGCUGGCCUUGGGGUCAGGGAGGGCAUAGUUGAAGGUGGAAUUGAGGGGUCUAGAGGACUCAACCGGGGGCUUUGAUGGUGGGUUCGAAGACAAGAUGGUUUCAGUAGGAGGAGAUGGUGGCGGCGGCGGCGGUGAUGAUUCAUGAGAUGAUGAGCUCACGGAAGCGAGACAAGGCGAAAAUCGCCUGUGAUUUGUGGGAGGACGAAGACGAGACAGGGAGAGCGACAGUGGAGUGUAGGACAUUGCAGCGAAGAGGGCCAUCGCAGAGGGAACUGAGAGAGGAAAGGACAAAACAAAAUGAAGAAAGCGUGGUGUGAGCCUGUGAGGAGUCUGAGGACUGACAUAGUGACAUAUGAGGUCAAUGUUUUGUGUGUGUGGAGCCCACGGUUGCUCAUCACGCGGGUAAAUUAACGGUCUGGUUUAAUCGCAUAGCUCACAAUUCUGAGUCCGAAAAUCAUUUUAAAUACUUUCUUAUUUAUUAUGCUCGUAUAUAAAAAACAAAAUAUAUCAAUUAUAAAUUUCACAAAUUAAUUUUUUUAACCGUUGAUUUGGUUAAUAAAUAUAUAUAAUAAAAUUAUACUCUUUCUCGUAAUUAUUUCCAUAUAUAUAUAUAUAUUUCUUGGGUCAGAUUUUCUUAAGAUUAAUUUUGAUGAUUAUGGAGCAAAAAAUUAAAUUUUAGGAGGAUUUAUUCUCAGUAGAAAGGAUUACUUGGAGGAUAAUGUUGAAGGUCUAGGAGCCGAAUAAUCUAAGUAUGAGGAGUUUAAGGUUAUGUUUAGUUCCUUAAAGUUAUUAAGGAAAAAAUAAAUAAAUAUUAAGUAAAUAAAAAAUAUUAAAAAAAAUAAAUUUCUUGUAUUUAAUUUUAUAAUAAAAAAAUCAAACAUAAUUAAAAUGGUAAAAAAUUUAUAUAUUUUUAAAUUGUUAAUCCUUAUAUAAUAAAUGAAAAUAAUUAAAAAAAAUUAUUUUAUUUUAUUUUAUUUACUUUCCAUCACUUUUUUCUUUGAAAUAGUGAAUGAAAAAAUAAAAUUAAAGUUAAUAAAUUAAAUUAAUUUAAUUUGUUAUUUCAAACUUAUUUUAAAUUUUUAUAUAAAGAUAAAAUAAUUUAAAAAUGUAUAGAUUUUUAACCAAUUUUAAUUAUAUUUGAUUUUUUUUUAUUUUUCAUAUUAUAACAUAAUAUGAAAAAAUCACUUUCCUCGUUAUUUUUUUCUUUAUUACUUUUUGAAACAAAUAUAACCUAAGAGUAUGUUUGGUUUCUGAAAAUUUAAGAGAAAAUGUUAAGGAAAGAUAAAACAAAAGAAAAUAAAAAAAUAAAUUCAAAGUCAAUAAUUAUUUUAUAUAUUUUUUAAAAUUCAUUUAACUUAUUUUCCUCUAUUAUGUAAAGAUUAAAUAAAUUUAAAAUACAUCAACUUUUAACUAAUUUAAGUAAUACUUGAUUUUCUUUCGUAUUUUCUAUAUUAAAAUUAAAUAGAAUAAAAUCAUUUUUCUCAACAUUUUUUUUGCCUUAGCAUUUUCCUAAAAUCAAAUAAAACAUAAAAGUUUUGAAUUGAAAGCGUAUGUCAUUGUAUAAUUUUAUUGAUUGGUUGGAUCCUUACUAGGGAAUGAAGUCGUUUUUUGUUUUUUGUAUAUAUUUUGUGUGCUUUUUCUAUGCUAUUGAUAUGCGCUUGGAGAUUUUAAUAAUAUAUAUAUAUAUAUAUAUAUAUAUAUAUAUAUAUAUAUAUAUAUAUAUAUAUAUAUAUAUUUAUAUAUUUUUCUUAACUUCUUAUUUUUAUUUUUAAUGUGAAAGCACUUUUAGAUUUAGCAUGCCCAUAUUAUUAGUUGUAAACAAAUGAUAGAAUUGAAAAGAAUGGUUUGGGCUUUGUUCUCAGAAGAAACAAUGAUGGUAUUAUAAGUAGAGAAAAGGCUACAAAUUAUAGAUGGGAGAUCCUCUCAAUUAGAAGAUGUUAUGAGAGGAAGGUAAAAGAAAGAAUGACAAUAACAAAAAAUAGACACCAACCCAAGGCCCACAGCACAAAUAUCCAAGUCCACCACUGAAACACAAAACAAGGGUGAAGGUGAAGACAAGAUGGAAGGCAUUUGGCUUCAAGGGGAGAUAUGAUCUAUUGGCGAACCUAUCAGCUUCCUGAUCGGUUGCUCUAGACUUUCAACAGAAGGAGCAUCUCAUGUCUCUAGACAGCUUCUCUAUCCUUUUCAACCAAUGGUUAUGUCUCCAUAAACAACCCUUCUUUUAUUUGUGGCAGGUCGAUUUUACAUCUCAAACUUGCAUGGCAUAUUGCUGUUGAAUUGAAACCCACUAAAUUUAUUUUGGCAUUAUGGUCAUCCCCCUCUUAUGUGCUAACUUAUUUCAUUUUCUGCCAGGUUUAGCCCUGAAGCUCUAAACUGGCUGUUCAUCAAGGGAUUGGUUGGCUGGUUUUUGCAAGUCUCACUGCUGAAAGUAUCAUUGCUUUCAUUGGAUAGUGGGGAGGCACCUUUUCUGGACAUUGUGGCAUAGCAGCGUACACUUUCACAGGGAUGUGCUUGGCUGUCCUUGGGAGGGAUCAUGUGGAGCAUCUCAUAUUAUUUCUUGAUGCCCUGGGCAUGCCUAUGCAUGGGAAUAUUCUUGGUAAAGACCAUGAAGAGAAUCCUCUUUGCAGAGGUGAGGAGUUAUGUUUCCAGCAAGCAUCACUAUCUCUUGCUCCUUAUUGCUUUGGCUCAGUUCCCACUUUUCAUAUGGCUUGGCAACAUUAGCCUUCAUUAGCUUUUCUGAACUUCAUCUUUUGAUAAAUGUAUCCGGAAACAAUUUGCUUCUGUGGAAGUCUUAAAAUGUUGUAGUUUUGGUCUAUGAUCUCGGCCAAGUGACCAUUCUCCUGGACUAGAAAUAUUCUUUAAACUUAUGCUAAAGCUUAAAUAUGAUUCAAUUGUUCUCCUAGUUAAAACAGAAACCAAGCACUUGGCUUCCUUGUUCAGAAUUAUUUAUCCUUUUUUUCCCAAUUGAUUGGAAAUGAACUAGUUUAGCACUUGUACUUUGACAUGUUCACUUCAAGCAACUGUAGUUAAUAAAACAAUUGAGCAUGAACUGGAGUUGCCGAUGGAAUCCUGAAAGUGGAUGACAUAAAUUACUUGGUGCCUUCUUCUGGUACAUGAUACUCCUGAACUGAAUGUCAGCAUGGUAUUCAUGAAUCAAGUUUCAAAACAAUUGAGCUCAUAUAGAUCUUGCAUAACUGGAAAUCAAAGUGAAUCUCAUGUUGUUUUUGAUGGGUUUAGAAUAAAAUCAAUGACAUCACUAUGGCCUUUGUCAAUGACUUGGUUUUAAACUCUGGUUCAAAACAUCCACUGCAAUGGGAAAAUGACCUUAACAUCCAGUGAUGACUUCGUUUUAGACUCUGGUUCAAAACAUCCACUGCUAUGAGAUAAUGGCCAUAACAUCUGAUGGACCUCAUUUUCCCAGACACACGGAGAUGGAUUAGGUAGGGGUGACUCUGAAUCACUUGCAUUGAGUCUACUUCGUACAAAGUCCCUGAGGUCAGUUGAAGGUAGUCUGGUGAUCAGCUUGAUAAUUCCAAAUACUUGACGCGAGGCUAGAUGCUUGAGGGUAAAUCAAGAGGCACAGCAGUUGUAAAUCGUCUCCCCAUAUGGCAAAACCUAUUCUGUCACAAUGAUAAAAAGGUGUUCAAUUAUGGCAGGUAAUGGAGCUUCAGGCAAUAGGAUGUGAGACAGUGAGAGGUCAAGAUAGAGCAACAUACAUUUCUUGCCCAUGGAAUGAUGCCCAUCCAAUAUAUACAGACUGCAAUUUUUAGCAUAUUGAAGAAAGUUGGCCUCUCAUUAAGGCACUAAGAUCACAUUUAGAAAUCUCAAAGAAUUCUGAGAAUGUGUCGAUGCCUUGCAUCAUUCCAUUUAGAAAUCUGAGUUCCAGAAAGGUGUUAAUGCCGAUGUUCCGAAAUUUUGAGACCGUGUUGCAAUCUAUUCUCCUGCCACAGUAACAAGAUUUCUUUACAAUGAACAGUCAUGAUAAUUUCACAUCUGCUAAUGCUAGCAUAAGCCACAUUGAGAAAACAAUUGAUCCUUGGAUUAUUACCAAUCUCUAAGGAAUUGAAAAAGGCCAGAUGGUCAAGCUCCAAAGUUCUUGACGACAUUCCCAGUUCACCAAUCAACGAUAGUAUCAUACGUGAAACAGAAGACACAAAGUCUGGAACAUUCAAAAUCAAAAGCAUCUGUUUUGAUUAUUUAGCAAGAAAAAUAACAUAAUGGAUCUUAUUUGUAUGUAUAUCAAGUUUAACAACACGCCAUUGCAUGACUCCUUAAUUGGCUUCCAAUAUUCAGAUAAUUCAAAGGCACCAUUAUGUUUAAUUCCGAUAUAAAAGACUGUCAAAGAAGGGGGAUAUAAAUUUGUACGAGAGUUAACAAACCUCUGGUUUUUUGUCAGCAAAAUCUCAUUAACUGGAUUCCUGAAAAACGUAGUAAAAAUAAGUAAACGCUCAUUAGAGUUAAAUUCCAAAUCCAAAGUCAAUAGAAGGUUGUUUAUUGUAGAACCAAACACAAUUACUAAACCUUAUAAUGCAAGAACACAAAAUUGUCCAGAAACACAUUUUCCAUCUUAUCAGAUCCAAUUUAUGGCCUUCCUGCAUUACUGCAUUUUAUAUUUGAAAGGUAAAUCAGACAUUUUUUAUGUGAGUAAUAAGAGAGUAAAUGGCAUAAAAGGCAAACCAUACAAAUGAAGAAGUUGUAAACAUAUAAGAGUGCUUACUGAUCACUGUUGAAUGAUAUUUAAUUGUCUCUCUUUCAAUCUGCAAGAGUUUAUACUCAGUGAAUCACAGUAUGCUACCAAGAAUAAUGCCUCAUUUCCUCGUUGUUGGAAAAAAAUGUAGUGAAAAACAUGUAAGUUGCCAAUAGAAAUAUACUAAUUUAAAAAUAAAGCAUUUCAAAAUACAUAAGGUUUGUACAAGUUGUAACUGACCUGAAAAAAAUCUGUAUGAUAAAGCUCAUUUUAAUGAAUCCUAACAAUGGUUAAAAAGACAUCCAAAAGGAGGAAAGCUGGAUCAGCAUUGCGCAUCCACCUAAAAGGAGUAACAUGAAAUGCAUCAAAAUAAAAUGAGAUGAAAAGAAAAUAGUAGUGCUCAUAAAAAUCCUUUCUGCAAAAUAAUGCAUAAAGACGAGCAAUUCAUCAAUGUAAAACAAAUACAAACUGUUCUUUAUAUAGGUCAUAGUUCCAUCAGAGAGCAAUUUCAAACCAUCACAACAACUGAGCACAAGACUUAAUAACAUGGAUGACAAACCGAUCCUCAGAAGGAACAUAAAGAAAUGUGUGAUUCUCGACUCUCCAAGAGAUGUGUGACUAUUCAGUCUUACUGGCAGCUUCUCCAAGAUAGCACAAAAAAUAGCUUCAUGUCUACUGAAGACAGGUGAACUAAGCAGUGUCCAAGGAUCGGUGCCAAAAUCCUCUCUGUAAGCUAGUGCUUAGGGAACACCUCAAGUCAUAAACAUAGAAAAUUUAGAAAAAAAGUUAGCAAAUAUAGGAAUCUAAAAAAACCAAUAAAAAUGGAAAAUAAAAAUUGUAACUUACCAUGAUCUUGCUAAGCUGUUGUUUAUCCUCUUUCUACACUCUUAACAUCAACAAUAGAAACAAAAACAACAAGUGGCAAUAGGAAUUUGCCACAGUCACUAUAGACAUGGAGCCUCCAAAUAUAAAACCCGAAUCCCCUUCAACAAGAAGAAAAAUACUUAUACUCUGACACCUGGGACAUGCACCUUUUAUACCUGCAAACUCCAAAAGAAGAGAUACGGUUUCAUCAAAUUAAAAAUUUGAGAAACUAAAGCAAAACCGUUUUGUUUCUGCUCAAAUUUGUACAACUAGGCAUAUGUAAAUAUGACAGUAGAUCACAUUUUGGAAACCAAGUGGGAUAUAUUAGAAUAGAUACAAGCUGCUGUUGUUGCUAUGUAAUAAUUCCAUUAGGUAGUUCUGGGCUAUCACAGUCACAGAGAAAAGACCACUUGGGAUAAAUUGAAAACCAGUUCUUGUGAAAGACAAGUUUCAUGCACUGAAUGGUUCCCAACUUUCAAAGGAAAUAAAAGAUCAUACAACCUUAUGAGCGGCUUCCCCAGGAGGGCAAGAAAAGAGGUUCUUAUUUAUUAAAGAUGCAAAUGAAAUCUUGAUUCAGAGGACCUCUGUAAAGCACUGAAGAAUCUAUCACAAGUCAUAAAAGGAAAAAAAAUUUACAAAGAUAGUCCUUAGAACACAAUAAUAUAUAGAAUCAACUAUAUAAAUGAAAGGCACGCACCACAAUUUGGCUAGAUUGUAUUUUAUCCUCUUUUUGUUGUACUAAAAAAUGGUAAUAAAGUGCCAAUGAGCCUUUGAUAUAGGAUGAACAUUCCAAUCAGUCAGCACAAUGAAAAGACCACAUGACCUCCUGUGAUACUUUGGACCCAUCCUUUUGAUACCUGCAUCAUCAAUGUAAACAAUUUGGUACAUAAAACUGUAAGACUUAUUAUUACCGUUCAGAGGUAGCCGAGUUAAAUGACAACAACUUGCAAAAAUAUAUGUAUGGGAAAUAGAAAGUGAUAUUGAGGAGAGAAAGAGGAAGAAUUGCAUGUUGGGAAUGAGCAUCCAGUGGACAAGAAGAAAAUUCAAGAAAAUUAGUCAUCAAAAUAGAUAAAUAAAUAAACAAAAUAUAUAGAUGACGGUGACUCACUGUAGUCUUGCUGGCUUAUUCUUUGUCCCCUGUUGACACUAAAAAAAAAUAAAAAUAAAAAGAGCAACAGGGGACAACUGGAACUAGCUGCAUUCACUCCAUACUUUGAAGUCUUUGAUAUAAUACCUAGAGUUCCAUCCUCUUUGAGAACCUGCAUCAUAAAUGUAAAAAUUUAAUAACCAGAUGACAAGACACUGGAUAGUAGCUAUGAUGACAUCUAAUAAGUUGAACUAAAAAAAUCAUGGCUGCACAGGGGAAUUGAUAAAGCCAUCUAAUUACCAUAGCAAUUGAACUUUAAUAAACUGCAUUUGCUUCUAGUAUAUAGCCUCCUCUGUAUGUCAGCCUGAACUCUAUUCUGGAAAACAGAAAAUUAUACUUAAAAAUGCAAUUGAAUAGUACAACUGAUGGAAUAAAAAUUAGAAGACAUUGCUAACCAGUGGCUAUUGCUAAAUAUUCCACCUGCCCUUGAAUGGCAUAAAUGGAUCCUCUCUUAUCCUUUUUAUCGUUGUAAGUAUCACAUAUCACCUCUUCAACUUCAAUGGUCACUGAGAACUAAAAAGAACAAAGGAAAAAGGAAAAGUGAGUACCCCAUGGAGAUUAUGGACAAGAUUUAGUAAAUAGAAUUGGAGAGGCAGAGGCAGUGAUGCAUACCUAGAAUUGUGUCAAAUUGAAGAGAGAACCAAGCUACAAGCCAUUUCCAAAGCCCCUUCCUAGGCAAAUUUUUAACAAAAAGUCUAGUAAGAAACUUACAAGUAAUCAAUUGGGGAAACUGCUAUAAUGUAUAUGAGAAAUUGAACGAGGUAUUGAGGAGUGAAAGACAAAGAACAGGCGUACCUUGUUUAAUGUAAAGAUGGGAGAGGGUUGAAUGGUGUUUGCUCAAACACGUUUUUAUCAUCUGUUUGCACAUAGGGAAUGUGGGCGAUGUUGGGCCAAUCUUGCCCUUUCCUCUUCGAGCACCUUUGUUUUAGGAGUGGGCAGUCUUUGAUAUAUAGUCGUGAAAGCGUGUCAGGCAGCCCUUCCCUUGGGCAAAACGACUCAAGCUUAGGGCAACAUCGGAUCCAUAGCUCUUCAAGUGAGGUGAGGGUUUGGAGAGCCAGGGAGGAUAGAGAUUUCAGAUUCUGGAAAUCAUUAAUGGAAAGAAGGGUGAGGGUUGUAGGAAGAAUCGGUGGUCUUUGACCAUCUGAAAAGGAGGCAACUGGUGGAAAUAUGCCACCAAUGGUGAGUUUUUUAAGAGAGGUAAGUGUGGCAAGGCCCCAUCGGGAUAGGGGCGUCUUGAUAUUCUCACAAUCAGAGAUAGUAAGUGAUGUAAGAGCAGUGAGGUUUUGCAGAUGAUAAGGUUGCAGCUCCACAUUCUCACACUUAUUAAUCUUCAGUUCUCUGAGUUUGUAGAGACAAUCUGGUACAAUUUUGAGACAGGGAUACGACGAGAUACUCAAAUAUUCAAGUGAACUAUUAUUGGAGUGAAACAUCUCCUCUGAAAUCGACUCCAGUUGUGCAC
RNAcentral lists this long non-coding RNA (19961 nucleotides) under Vitis vinifera (wine grape). RNAcentral's name for it is "long non-coding RNA (VVIN_LNC004345)". The record is from RNAcentral. Lineage: Eukaryota; Viridiplantae; Streptophyta; Magnoliopsida; Vitales; Vitaceae.